This 543-nucleotide ribosomal RNA is filed under the name Burkholderia sp. 9775_39. RNAcentral's name for it is "partial 23S ribosomal RNA". It matches the Rfam family "Bacterial large subunit ribosomal RNA", at positions 241 to 826 of the family's 2925-position model. Lineage: Bacteria; Pseudomonadati; Pseudomonadota; Betaproteobacteria; Burkholderiales; Burkholderiaceae. The record is from RNAcentral.
CAGUAGCGGCGAGCGAACGGGGAGCAGCCCAGAGCCUGAAUCAGUGUGUGUGUUAGUGGAAGCGUCUGGAAAGGCGCGCGAUACAGGGUGACAGCCCCGUACACCAAAAUGCACAGGCUGUGAACUCGAUGAGUAGGGCGGGACACGUGGUAUCCUGUCUGAAUAUGGGGGGACCAUCCUCCAAGGCUAAAUACUCCUGACUGACCGAUAGUGAACCAGUACCGUGAGGGAAAGGCGAAAAGAACCCCGGCGAGGGGAGUGAAAAAGAACCUGAAACCGUGUACGUACAAGCAGUGGGAGCCUCUUAAUGGGGUGACUGCGUACCUUUUGUAUAAUGGGUCAGCGACUUAUAUUCUGUAGCAAGGUUAACCGAAUAGGGGAGCCGAAGGGAAACCGAGUCUUAACUGGGCGUUAAGUUGCAGGGUAUAGACCCGAAACCCGGUGAUCUAGCCAUGGGCAGGUUGAAGGUUGGGUAACACUAACUGGAGGACCGAACCGACUAAUGUUGAAAAAUUAGCGGAUGACUUGUGGCUGGGGGUGAAA